AACGAACGCUGGCGGCAGGCCUAACACAUGCAAGUCGAGCGAGGACUUCGGUCCUAGCGGCGGACGGGUGAGUAACGCGUGGGAACGUGCCCUUUGCUUCGGAAUAGCCCUGGGAAACUGGGAGUAAUACCGGAUGAGCCCUGUGGGGGAAAGAUUUAUCGGCGAAGGAUCGGCCCGCGUUGGAUUAGGUUGUUGGUGGGGUAAUGGCCUACCAAGCCGACGAUCCAUAGCUGGUUUGGGAGGAUGAUCAGCCACACUGGGACUGAGACACGGCCCAGACUCCUACGGGAGGCAGCAGUGGGGAAUCUUAGACAAUGGGGGAAACCCUGAUCUAGCCAUGCAGCGUGAGCGAUGAAGGCCUUAGGGUUGUAAAGCUCUUUAAGCUGGGAAGAUAAUGACGGUACCAGCAGAAGAAGCCCCGGCUAACUCCGUG
This 433-nucleotide ribosomal RNA is filed under the name uncultured bacterium. Its description in RNAcentral is "partial 16S ribosomal RNA". It matches the Rfam family "Bacterial small subunit ribosomal RNA", at positions 29 to 507 of the family's 1533-position model. The record is from RNAcentral.